Anopheles coluzzii is the source of this 1645-nucleotide long non-coding RNA. RefSeq lists it as uncharacterized. The record is from RefSeq and is a predicted model, not a curated record. NCBI's taxonomy places the organism in Eukaryota, Metazoa, Arthropoda, Insecta, Diptera, Culicidae. The transcript has 2 exons.
CGUCCGUCAGUGCAAUGCAUGUGCUGAAGCAGCGAAGGCUCCGGCGAAAGCAACCCUGGAAUCAUGGCCUCUCCAGGACCGGCCGUGGCAACGAGUACACGUCGAUUUCGCUGGCCCAAUCGACGGACAUCACUAGGCAUGGGCAAAACGAUUCUUUUCACCGAACGCGAACGAACUAGUUCGCUCACCAAAAAGAACCGAACGUGAACGACGAUUCUUUCGUUCUUUUUUUCAUGGGGUUUUUAUUCACAAAGAACAUUCGUUAUUUUUUUCAUUUACCCACCAUAGACGCAUACUGUAGCCAAAGAAGUACUCAUUCUGCGGUUGAAACCAAUCAUUUAAAAACAUUAAAUAAAUCAGCCCAUCUGCUGUCUGGUCAACACAAUCUAUCGCAAAACCGACCAAAAACUAGCAUGUAAAAAACUAAUACGAGCAAAAAUGUCUCCAGCAUAUAUUGUACCCUAUGUCUUAUACACACUCAAGGAUUCUAUAAAAAAAAACUACUUAAACAUGGAUAAACAUGAUGAGCGCAAUCAAUUCAGUUCAGUUCAUUCGCGAACAAUGACUAAUGCGUUUAAACGGGCUCGAUCUAUUGAAUUGUAUAGGUAUAAUUUACACACCAACAGAACACAGAUCGAACACCAGUUCGAACGCGUUCGAUGAAUUCAGUUGUGUAGGUACGAUUUACAUACCAACAGAACACAGAUCGAACACUAACCGAUCAGAUCGAACGCGUUCGAUGAAUUCAGUUGUGUAGGUACGAUUUCCACACCAACAGAACACAGAUCGAACACCAGUUCGAACGCGUUCGAUGAAUUCAGUUGUGUAGGUACGAUUUACAUACCAACAGAACACAGAUCGAACACUAACCGAUCAGAUCGAACGCGUUCGAUGAAUUCAGUUGUGUAGGUACGAUUUCCACACCAACAGAACACAGAUCGAACACCAGUUCGAACGCGUUCGAUGAAUUCAGUUGUGUAGGUACGAUUUACAUACCAACAGAACACAGAUCGAACACUAACCGAUCAGAUCGAACGCGUUCGAUGAAUUCAGUUGUGUAGGUACGAUUUCCACACCAACAGAACACAGAUCGAACACCAGUUCGAACGCGUUCGAUGAAUUCAGUUGUGUAGGUACGAUUUACAUACCAACAGAACACAGAUCGAACACUAACCGAUCAGAUCGAACGCGUUCGAUGAAUUCAGUUGUGUAGGUACGAUUUCCACACCAACAGAACACAGAUCGAACACCAGUUCGAACGCGUUCGAUGAAUUCAGUUGUGUAGGUACGAUUUACAUACCAACAGAACACAGAUCGAACACUAACCGAUCAGAUCGAACGCGUUCGAUGAAUUCAGUUGUGUAGGUACGAUUUACACACCAACAGAACACAGAUCGAACACCAGUUCGAACGCGUUCGAUAAAUUCAGUCGUAUUGAUACGAUUUCCACACCAACAGCACACGUAUCGAACACUGCUGGACAAAUUCGACGGCGUUCGAGGAAUUGAGUUGUAUGGGUACGAUUUCAACACCAACAGGGUACAUUUUGAUCUCUGACGACCCGUUCGCACGGUGCGAGAAAGAGCGAGAAAGCAAUAUGAUUUUGCACGUUUCAUUACCACAUUUAUGUGUGCCGUCAAACACU